CCUACGGGGGGCAGCAGUGGGGAAUAUUGCACAAUGGGGGAAACCCUGAUGCAGCGACGCCGCGUGAGUGAAGAAGUAAUUCGGUAUGUAAAGCUCUAUCAGCAGGGAAGAAAAUGACGGUACCUGAGUAAGAAGCCCCGGCUAACUACGUGCCAGCAGCCGCGGUAAUACGUAGGGGGCAAGCGUUAACCGGAUUUACUGGGUGUAAAGGGAGCGUAGACGGCAGGACAAGUCUGGCGUGAAAGGCCGGGGCUUAACCCCGGAACUGCUUUGGAAACUGUGCAGCUAGAGUGCAGGAGAGGUAAGUGGCAUUCCUAGUGUAGCGGUGAAAUGCGUAGAUAUUAGGCGGAACACCAGUGGCGAAGGCGGCUUACUGGACUGUACCUGACGUUGAGGCUCGAAAGCGUGGGGAGCAAACAGGAUUAGAUACCCGUGUAGUC
Molecule: ribosomal RNA, 440 nt
Filed under: uncultured bacterium
Lineage: Bacteria
Description: partial 16S ribosomal RNA
Rfam family: Bacterial small subunit ribosomal RNA
Source: RNAcentral